RNAcentral lists this long non-coding RNA (3556 nucleotides) under Homo sapiens (human). Its description in RNAcentral is "non-protein coding lnc-SLC45A1-1:7". Lineage: Eukaryota; Metazoa; Chordata; Mammalia; Primates; Hominidae. The record is from RNAcentral.
AGACUCGUCCCUAACCCCAGCCCGGAGACUUUCACUUUGUCCCAUGCCUCCCGAGCACCCCUCCCCGCCCCGGUGGGGGCAGCUCCUGGCUCCGAGCCCCCACCUCGGGGCUCCCAGCCUGGUCCCGGGCGGCCGACCCCAGCAGCCACAGGCAUCCUACGCUGUGUGCACACAGCAUAUCACCGGGAGAGACGGCACGGAAAGAUGGCCCUGCCCUCAAGGAGCUGCAGUCUGCCCAGGAAGGCAGACAGAUAAACUGCUAUAGUUUUCCACUAUUGAGCUGAAUUUCGUAUCACCAUCAAAAGUUACCUACCUACAAGUCCCUAGUAGAGAAAAUUUAACUUCUGGCUUUAAAAAAGGGACAGAAAAGCAGGCAGAUCUGCUAGUAAGCAAACUACAGCUCCCCCGAGGAGACACACAGGCAGUGGGUAAGAGGAACAGACCCAUGGCUCCACUGAAGACACAGAGCAGCAGACGAAAAAGACAUGUCCUAAAUGUUAAAUGGUAAGGAGGGGUAGGGUGAAAAAAGGGAACAUGGAUGCCAGGCAGAAGAAAUAAAAGCCUUUCCAAACAUUUGUAUUACAUGAUGCUGGCUCUCACUGAUAAACCACUGGAUGAGAACUGUACUUCAUCCAUAUCAUCCUGUUGGUUGCAGAUCCCGUCACCCCAUAUCUAAAACAUAUUUCCUUCUGGAGCUUUACUGUUGAUACUGCUUUGAGAUGUAUCAUUUGGUUUUGGUUUUACAUAUUUAACAUUUUAAUGAAAGGGUGACUUGAGUAAGGCACUACUUUUUCAAUAAAUAGCAACAGAACCAAUUUGCCUGGGAGGAGACCUGCCAGCAAGCCAUGAGGGGCAUUUCCAAAAUUUCCAGUAUAGGCUGCUCCCAAUUUCUGCCUCCACUUUAAAAACACUUUGCACUUACUAGUGUUAUUCCAGGAGAGCCAGUUAAUAGUUUAAUGAAACUAGUUAGAGUUUAAAGGCAGCAAAUGGGAUAAUUUAAAAUAAUCAUCCCAUUUUUAUUGAUGGUUCUCAAAUCUCUCUCCAGAUCUGACAUUUUGCCCUAGCUCAGACUUGUACCUACACUUUCUAUUCAGACUAACGUCCUCCAUAGUUUUAGGACAUCACCAUCCCAACUUGGGCACUGACAGCCCACAGGCCACAUCCUCCUCAAGUAGCAACUCAUGAACCCAGAGAACUGACUGAAAUAGUUCAGUGUUUCUUGAGCUCCCCAAGGCCUUCAGGCUUCUGUGCAGAGUGGAAGUGGUAGUGGUAGUGGCACAAGUAUGCUAAUUGCCACAGUACACUCUCCAAGGUAAGUGUAACCGGGCCCAUUCUACAGAUAAACUAAAGGUUAGGUAAAUUAAAUCUCCUGGCCCAUCCACAUCUAAUCAUCAUCAGGGCCAGGAUUCAAGUCCAGUUCUAACAACAAAAGCCAUGCCAAUGGUAACAGAGUGCGUGUGAGCUGCUAAGUACUUCUGUGUAUUAACUCAUGCCAUUAAAGUCCGUAGAUGCCAUAGGGUGACCCAGAGCCACACUGGGUAGGCCCCUCCAGGCAUUCCUUUGUCUUCCAAAUACCAACUGAGGUGCAGGCUUAUUACCCUUACGUUACUACUGGCACAAGUAAAACUUCUUCCUGCAUAUACCUUAAGACGGGGGUCUCCAGUCCCCAGGGUACAAACCACUACCAGCCUGUUAGGAACUGGGCCACAAAGCAGGAAGUGAGCGGCAGGCAAGUGAGCAAAGCUUCAUCUGUAUUUACAGAUGCUCCCCCUGGCUUGCAUUACCGCCUGAGCUCUACCUCCUGUCACAUCAGCAGCGGCAUUAGAUUUUCAUAGGACCACGAAUCCUAUUGUGAACUGCGCAUGUGAGGGAUCUGGGUUGCGUGCUUCUUUUGAGAAUCUAAUGUCUGAUGAUCUGUCACUGUUUUCCAUCACCCUCAGGUGGGACUGUCCAGUUGCAGGAAAACAAGCUCAGGGCUCCUACUGAUUCUACAUUAUAGGGAGUUGUAUAAUUAAUUCAUUACAUAUUACAAUGUAAUAAUAAUAGAAAUAAAGUGCACAAUAAAUGUAAUGCGCUUGAAUCAUCCUGAAACCAUCCUUCCCCUCAGCCCAUGGAAAAGCUGUCUUCCACAAAGCUGGUCCCUGGUUCCAAAAAGGUUGGGGACCUCUGCUGUAUACCACUGUAGUCUUAUAAACACUGUUUACUUAAUUAACCUAAACAUUUAAAAUGUUUCCUUUCUUCAAUAAUAAAUUAACCUUAGCUUACUGUAACUUUUUUCACUUUAUAAAGUUUAAAAUUAACCUCAUGGGCCUAGCACCUCAAAUCUCCCCCGCUUCUCUCUCCCCAAGCCAGCUUGCCCUCUCUUAGCUCCCUGUGGCCCUAUUUCUGUCAGCUGCAGCAGAGUUCUAGAAGAAGUGCCUGGCGUGCUCUCUGUCCAUUCCCACUCCUUCCAUCAGUCACCAUGCCCUCUAGAUUCAUUCUUCACUUCAUGGAGUUUCCUGUUCGGCAUGCUCCUCGGUUUUUGCAAGGGCUCUGCCAACUACAGGGCCACGUCAUGCCAGUGACUGCACUGGUCUCCUCCCUGGCCUCAGUGUGUCUCCACACCCCUCCCCCCAACAUUCCAGUUCUGGGCAUUCUGUAUAUUAAUGUGUUCUCUUAUUUGAAGACCUGUGACAAUUCCUAGUACGUCCAAACUAUCGGUCUGCUAGUUAGUUAACAGCCUCCACAAUUGGGUUCCCAAUCACCUACACCACCAUGUAGUGAAGUUAGUUACUGCAGUACCCCAUCCUGAUUCCUUUCCCUGGGUUUUUACCAAUGCCUUUCUCUCUUACCCAAUCUAGAAUGUCCCCUCUUCACUUCUGCUUAUUCAAACACAUCAACUCAACUAACAUUCAUUGAGCCCUCAUUCUAGUGAACACACUGUGCAAAGAGCACAGCACGAGGCACUGAGUGAACAAGGAGCACAGCACGAGGCACUGAGUGAACAAGGAGCACAGCACGAGGCACUGUGCGAAGCAUGUUCCAGUUUCAACUCUAUCCCUACACAGAGUCCGCUCUGCUCUCUCUCCCUUCUCUGAAAAACAACAAUUCCUGUUUAUGACUAGAAUUAAUAAGCACUUCUGCCAUUAAAAGGUCUAUAGAUCUUCCACCAAAUUGUGGAUUCCUUUCCAGCAAGAGAAUGUGACAGAAUGAUACCAGGUGACUUCUAAGACUACAUCAUACAAAGCAACACAGCUUCUGCUGGGCUCUCCCUCUCUGGACACGUGUCUUUGAAGCCCUGAGCUGCCAGAUUAAACAGUCCGGCUUGCCUAAAGUCACCACGCUGGAGAGACCAUCAGGGAUGGAGAGGUGCUACAGAAACCCUAGCUAUUCUAGUCCCCAGCCAUUUGAGUCUUCCUAGCCCAGACUCAUAAGUGAAGAAACCUUCAAGAUGAUUCCAAUACCUCCUAUCACUUGACUGCAACCUCGUGAAAGCCUAAGCCAGACCUGCACGGUGGAGCCAUUCCUAAAUUCUGGUCCCACAGAAACUGUGAAAGAUAAUAAAUGAUCAUCAUUG